This 625-nucleotide ribosomal RNA is filed under the name Gammaproteobacteria bacterium swV04s. Its description in RNAcentral is "bacterial SSU rRNA". It matches the Rfam family "Bacterial small subunit ribosomal RNA", at positions 59 to 664 of the family's 1533-position model. Lineage: Bacteria; Pseudomonadati; Pseudomonadota; Gammaproteobacteria. The record is from RNAcentral.
CAGUCGAGCGGAACGACAACAUUGACUCUUCGGAUGAUUUGUUGGGCGUCGAGCGGCGGACGGGUGAGUAAUGCCUGGGAAAUUGCCCUGAUGUGGGGGAUAACCAUUGGAAACGAUGGCUAAUACCGCAUAAUGCCUUCGGGCCAAAGAGGGGGACCUUCGGGCCUCUCGCGUCAGGAUAUGCCCAGGUGGGAUUAGCUAGUUGGUGAGGUAAUGGCUCACCAAGGCGACGAUCCCUAGCUGGUCUGAGAGGAUGAUCAGCCACACUGGAACUGAGACACGGUCCAGACUCCUACGGGAGGCAGCAGUGGGGAAUAUUGCACAAUGGGCGCAAGCCUGAUGCAGCCAUGCCGCGUGUAUGAAGAAGGCCUUCGGGUUGUAAAGUACUUUCAGCAGUGAGGAAGGUUCAUGCGUUAAUAGCGUAUGGAUUUGACGUUAGCUGCAGAAGAAGCACCGGCUAACUCCGUGCCAGCAGCCGCGGUAAUACGGAGGGUGCGAGCGUUAAUCGGAAUUACUGGGCGUAAAGCGCAUGCAGGUGGUUCGUUAAGUCAGAUGUGAAAGCCCGAGGCUCAACCUCGGAACUGCAUUUGAAACUGGCGGACUAGAGUACUGUAGAGGGGGGUAG